RNAcentral lists this ribosomal RNA (180 nucleotides) under uncultured bacterium. RNAcentral's name for it is "partial 16S ribosomal RNA". It matches the Rfam family "Bacterial small subunit ribosomal RNA", at positions 338 to 514 of the family's 1533-position model. The record is from RNAcentral.
CCUACGGGAGGCAGCAGUGAGGAAUAUUGGUCAAUGGGCGAGAGCCUGAACCAGCCAAGUAGCGUGCAGGAUGACGGCCCUAUGGGUUGUAAACUGCUUUUAUAAGGGAAUAAAGUGAGCCUCGUGAGGCUUUUUGCAUGUACCUUUAUGAAUAAGGACCGGCUAAUUCCGUGCCAGCAG